AUUUUGCUCCUCCCACUGCAGUUUGAAGAUCUGAACAUUGUUGCCGAAUGUCUCUUUUCUCUGAUCAAUGGUGAUGACAUGUUUGCGACUUUUGCUCAAAUCCAGCAGAAGAGCAUCUUGAUGUGGCUGUUCAGUCGCCUGUAUUUAUAUUCCUUCAUCACUCUUUUUAUAUAUAUGAUUCUUAGCCUUUUCAUUGCACUUAUUACAGAUUCUUACGACACCAUUAAAAAAUACCAACAGAGUGGAUUUCCUGAAACAGAUCUUCAGGAAUUCCUGAAGGAAUGCAGCAGCAAAGAGAAGUAUCAGAAAUAGUCCCUGGCCUUCCUGUCCUGCGCCUGCUGCCUGAGGCUGGAAACCUAAGAAUGGAAGAAAAUGGAGGAAGGCUGUGACUGGAGACUAAAUAUUGGAGAAACAUCUCACUGAGGGAACCCAGGGAGCAAGGUCAUCACACAUUUGGUGGCUGGGCACCUCCCGAGUGCCCAUGAUGGACAACCCCAGUGAGCACAGCUCCACCUCCUGCAGGCAACAGGCUCGCUUUUUUCAGCUGACCAGUCUGGCAACCACCACAGACUAAUUCUCCUUUGAAUUGUUCUCAGAACCUCAAGCCUGAUCAUCAGAACAUGUGGUCUUUCAUUUUGGACUCUGCCAGUUAUCAAAUGUGUCCCAUGACCUAAACCUCUUGGUUCCUCCAGUGUCAUCAGGGUGGAACAGAUGACCUCUGACACCUCUUCCAAUUCUAAUGUGACACAGUUCUUUGGAAAGGUAUGCUAGGUUGAACAUAUGCAGAGUUAACUUUUCUCCUUCUUAUGGCAGUGAAGGAGGAAAAUCUGCUGUUCUAGCCUUUGAGAAGGCUUUGACAAAGAAGGGAAAUAGAAGGUCCCAAGAGGUGGACAAUUCCUCAAAAUUGCCAGAGUGUCUACUCAAAAAAAAAAAUACUGUAAAUUGUCCUUCUUAUGUUUUCUUCUCUUAUCUUUUGCCCUCAGAAUGUCUAUAAUCAAUGCAUGCCUAGAAUACAGAGUAUUCCUAUGCCACCUCAAAUACUUAAAAAUCAUUGUUCUCUUUUCCAUUUCCUCCUGCCCGAUUCUGUUACAGGAAAGGAAGUGAUGACCACUUGAUAUUUGUUAACUACAAUUCUUUUGCUAAAGGUAAUCAAAUUUUAGGCCUCCUUAUCCAGUGA
Manis javanica (Malayan pangolin) is the source of this 1177-nucleotide non-coding RNA. The record is from RefSeq and is a predicted model, not a curated record. NCBI's taxonomy places the organism in Eukaryota, Metazoa, Chordata, Mammalia, Pholidota, Manidae.